Molecule: regulatory RNA element, 189 nt
Organism: Firmicutes bacterium CAG:308
Lineage: Bacteria; Bacillati; Bacillota
Rfam family: T-box leader
About the family: Uncharged tRNA acts as the effector for transcription antitermination of genes in the T-box leader family.
Source: Rfam
CAUAUCGCAACGAAGAGAAAUAGUACAUAGGAGUUCGUGUGUAGAGAAGGACUGGCUGGUGAAAAGUCUUGAUUGAGCCUAUGGAAUACACCUUGGAGCUUCAUUAUAUGACGUAUACCUGCGUUAAAGGUUUGAGUGCAUGUGAACAUACAUGAAGUAAGGUGGUACCGCGUUUAUAACGUCCUUAUU